This 927-nucleotide ribosomal RNA is filed under the name Triticum aestivum (bread wheat). Its description in RNAcentral is "partial small subunit ribosomal RNA". Lineage: Eukaryota; Viridiplantae; Streptophyta; Magnoliopsida; Poales; Poaceae. The record is from RNAcentral.
AUGCCCUGCGUUGUAGAAGCAAACCAAUGCAAAGCAAUCCAUUUGAGCUUCACAAAACUACCACUCCAACGUGUGCUCCUCUCUCAAGUGUGUGUCCGUGUGCUAGUAGCCUACAGCACCGUUUCUCUCGGGAGGUACUCCAUAUACACGUUGAUUAACACGUAUACACAUCCUUCAACGACAAUCAUGGUCGGCGCUCAAGAGCAAGGGCUGAAGCUGCUGGUGCCGCGGAGCGGCGUGAGCAUAUAUGCCAUCCGCGUCCAGAUGCCGCUUGCCAUGAAGGGUCUGGCCUACGACUACCUCCCCAAGGACCCCGGGUGCAAGAGCGACCUACUCCUCGCGUCCAACCCCGUGCACAAGACGCUGCCCGUCCUCAUCCACGGCGGCAGGCCCGUCUGCGAGUCGCUCAUCAUCAUGGAGUACCUCGACAACGCAUUCCCCGGCAACGGCGCCUCCAUCCUCCCCGCCGACCCCUACCGCCGCGCCGUCGCUCGCUUCUGGGCCGCCUACAUCGACAACAAGAUGUUCCCUUCGUGCAUCGGCAUUCUCAGUACGGCGAAGCAGCAGGAGAAAGCCGACAAGGUGGAGGAGACCUUGGCGGCGUUCGGGCUCCUAGAAGCCGCCCUGGCAGAGUGCUCCAAAGAAGGGGAGGCGGAGGCAGAGGCGCCGUUUUUCGGUGGUGGCUCCAUCGGGUUCCUGGACAUUGCGCUCGGGUGCUAUAUUCCCUGGUUCGAAGCGAUAGGCCGCCUUGCUGGCAUGCCGCCGUUCCUAGACGCAACGAGGACACCAAAGCUUGCUGCGUGGGCGGGGCGGUUCAGGGCCGCCGAGCCGGUCAUUGCCCUGCUGACUGCGGUGGACAAGGUGGAGGAGUACAUCACUAAGGUGCUUUAUCCAAAGUGGAACGUCGCGGUCACAGUUGGUAACUAA